CACAAUCUCAGGUUGACAGUGAGAUCAAAUAUCCCACAAUGCACUACGAUUCAUGACAGUAACAAAAUUACAGUUAUGAAGUAGCAACGAAAAUAAUUUCAUAGUCGGGGUCACCACAACACGCGGAACUGUAUUGAAGGACCACAGUGUUAGGAUGGCUGAGAAGCCUGCUCAGCUGAAGAACAACCGCAUCCCUUGCGUCUCCACGGAGAUGAGGAGGGCACAAGCGCAGCCGAGGCGUCCUCUCUCCCCUCUGGCGUGGUGAGCGAAGUGAUUGGCCCAGAGGUCAACUGUUCCACCCUCCGCUCUGUAGAAGCCGGGAAUGCUCUGACGACCCUGCCAGGGGAUGUUCAUGGAAUACAGAGCCCCUGUUGGAUAAAUGAGUACAUGAUGAAAAGCAGUUUCUAGAAAGACCCCAAGAUCUUUCUGUCGUAGAGAAAGUGGAACCUGGAAGAAUGGACCCUAAAGCUGCUGAGCAGCCAGGAACUGACAAGCAGCCUCCUUGCAACAUCCCUCCCUUGAUGGCCCUUGGAAGAGAGGGUGCAUAUUCCUCCACAGUGCUGGAUUCCACCAAUCCUAUGCUGUGAAGAGCGACUCUCAAGUUCAUCAUCUAAAUCCAUUUCUGCAAAAUGGAAACUAUUCUACCACUUCUUUAA
Molecule: non-coding RNA, 656 nt
Organism: Myodes glareolus (Bank vole)
Lineage: Eukaryota; Metazoa; Chordata; Mammalia; Rodentia; Cricetidae
Source: RefSeq, a predicted model, not a curated record